RNAcentral lists this ribosomal RNA (3014 nucleotides) under Salmonella enterica subsp. enterica serovar Kentucky. RNAcentral describes it as "bacterial LSU rRNA". It matches the Rfam family "Bacterial large subunit ribosomal RNA". The record is from RNAcentral. Lineage: Bacteria; Pseudomonadati; Pseudomonadota; Gammaproteobacteria; Enterobacterales; Enterobacteriaceae.
GGGUUGUGAGGUUAAGCGACUAAGCGUACACGGUGGAUGCCCUGGCAGUCAGAGGCGAUGAAGGGCGUGCUAAUCUGCGAUAAGCGCCGGUAAGGUGAUAUGAACCGUUAUAACCGGCGAUACCCGAAUGGGGAAACCCAGUGUGAUUCGUCACACUAUCAUUAACUGAAUCCAUAGGUUAAUGAGGCGAACCGGGGGAACUGAAACAUCUAAGUACCCCGAGGAAAAGAAAUCAACCGAGAUUCCCCCAGUAGCGGCGAGCGAACGGGGAGGAGCCCAGAGCCUGAAUCAGCAUGUGUGUUAGUGGAAGCGUCUGGAAAGGCGCGCGAUACAGGGUGACAGCCCCGUACACAAAAGCGCAUAUGCUGUGAGCUCGAUGAGUAGGGCGGGACACGUGGUAUCCUGUCUGAAUAUGGGGGGACCAUCCUCCAAGGCUAAAUACUCCUGACUGACCGAUAGUGAACCAGUACCGUGAGGGAAAGGCGAAAAGAACCCCGGCGAGGGGAGUGAAAAAGAACCUGAAACCGUGUACGUACAAGCAGUGGGAGCACAGGUUUACCUGUGUGACUGCGUACCUUUUGUAUAAUGGGUCAGCGACUUAUAUUCUGUAGCAAGGUUAACCGAAUAGGGGAGCCGUAGGGAAACCGAGUCUUAACCGGGCGUUAAGUUGCAGGGUAUAGACCCGAAACCCGGUGAUCUAGCCAUGGGCAGGUUGAAGGUUGGGUAACACUAACUGGAGGACCGAACCGACUAAUGUUGAAAAAUUAGCGGAUGACCUGUGGCUGGGGGUGAAAGGCCAAUCAAACCGGGAGAUAGCUGGUUCUCCCCGAAAGCUAUUUAGGUAGCGCCUCGUGAAUUCAUCUCCGGGGGUAGAGCACUGUUUCGGCUAGGGGGCCAUCCCGGCUUACCAACCCGAUGCAAACUGCGAAUACCGGAGAAUGUUAUCACGGGAGACACACGGCGGGUGCUAACGUCCGUCGUGAAGAGGGAAACAACCCAGACCGCCAGCUAAGGUCCCAAAGUCAUGGUUAAGUGGGAAACGAUGUGGGAAGGCCCAGACAGCCAGGAUGUUGGCUUAGAAGCAGCCAUCAUUUAAAGAAAGCGUAAUAGCUCACUGGUCGAGUCGGCCUGCGCGGAAGAUGUAACGGGGCUAAACCAUGCACCGAAGCUGCGGCAGCGAACGUAUCACUUAAAGCGAUUCAGCGGAUUACGAUUGACGGAGCGAAGCGACGUCAAAGCGUAUACAAAGUCGAGUCGGUUUAAGGAUACGUUCGUUGGGUAGGGGAGCGUUCUGUAAGCCUGUGAAGGUGGCCUGUGAGGGUUGCUGGAGGUAUCAGAAGUGCGAAUGCUGACAUAAGUAACGAUAAAGCGGGUGAAAAGCCCGCUCGCCGGAAGACCAAGGGUUCCUGUCCAACGUUAAUCGGGGCAGGGUGAGUCGACCCCUAAGGCGAGGCCGAAAGGCGUAGUCGAUGGGAAACGGGUUAAUAUUCCCGUACUUGGUGUUACUGCGAAGGGGGGACGGAGAAGGCUAUGUUGGCCGGGCGACGGUUGUCCCGGUUUAAGCGUGUAGGCUGGUUUUCCAGGCAAAUCCGGAAAAUCAAGGCUGAGGCGUGAUGACGAGGCACUACGGUGCUGAAGCAACAAAUGCCCUGCUUCCAGGAAAAGCCUCUAAGCAUCAGGUAACAUCAAAUCGUACCCCAAACCGACACAGGUGGUCAGGUAGAGAAUACCAAGGCGCUUGAGAGAACUCGGGUGAAGGAACUAGGCAAAAUGGUGCCGUAACUUCGGGAGAAGGCACGCUGACACGUAGGUGAAGUGAUUUACUCAUGGAGCUGAAGUCAGUCGAAGAUACCAGCUGGCUGCAACUGUUUAUUAAAAACACAGCACUGUGCAAACACGAAAGUGGACGUAUACGGUGUGACGCCUGCCCGGUGCCGGAAGGUUAAUUGAUGGGGUCAGCGCAAGCGAAGCUCCUGAUCGAAGCCCCGGUAAACGGCGGCCGUAACUAUAACGGUCCUAAGGUAGCGAAAUUCCUUGUCGGGUAAGUUCCGACCUGCACGAAUGGCGUAAUGAUGGCCAGGCUGUCUCCACCCGAGACUCAGUGAAAUUGAACUCGCUGUGAAGAUGCAGUGUACCCGCGGCAAGACGGAAAGACCCCGUGAACCUUUACUAUAGCUUGACACUGAACAUUGAGCCUUGAUGUGUAGGAUAGGUGGGAGGCUUUGAAGUGUGGACGCCAGUCUGCAUGGAGCCGACCUUGAAAUACCACCCUUUAAUGUUUGAUGUUCUAACGUGGACCCGUAAUCCGGGUUGCGGACAGUGUCUGGUGGGUAGUUUGACUGGGGCGGUCUCCUCCUAAAGAGUAACGGAGGAGCACGAAGGUUGGCUAAUCCUGGUCGGACAUCAGGAGGUUAGUGCAAUGGCAUAAGCCAGCUUGACUGCGAGCGUGACGGCGCGAGCAGGUGCGAAAGCAGGUCAUAGUGAUCCGGUGGUUCUGAAUGGAAGGGCCAUCGCUCAACGGAUAAAAGGUACUCCGGGGAUAACAGGCUGAUACCGCCCAAGAGUUCAUAUCGACGGCGGUGUUUGGCACCUCGAUGUCGGCUCAUCACAUCCUGGGGCUGAAGUAGGUCCCAAGGGUAUGGCUGUUCGCCAUUUAAAGUGGUACGCGAGCUGGGUUUAGAACGUCGUGAGACAGUUCGGUCCCUAUCUGCCGUGGGCGCUGGAGAACUGAGGGGGGCUGCUCCUAGUACGAGAGGACCGGAGUGGACGCAUCACUGGUGUUCGGGUUGUCAUGCCAAUGGCACUGCCCGGUAGCUAAAUGCGGAAGAGAUAAGUGCUGAAAGCAUCUAAGCACGAAACUUGCCCCGAGAUGAGUUCUCCCUGAGACUUAGAGUCUCCUGAAGGAACGUUGAAGACGACGACGUUGAUAGGCCGGGUGUGUAAGCGCAGCGAUGCGUUGAGCUAACCGGUACUAAUGAACCGUGAGGCUUAACCUUACAACGCCGAAGGUGUUU